This is a non-coding RNA of Paramuricea clavata, 573 nucleotides long. Lineage: Eukaryota; Metazoa; Cnidaria; Anthozoa; Malacalcyonacea; Plexauridae. The record is from the annotation of a GenBank genome assembly.
CUAUAUCAAAUUCCCAAAAGCCCUUCCCUCUUAAUAAACUACUGAACUCUUCAGAUAAUUCAUUAAAUGACUGGUAUGUCGAUGGCAAUUCCAAACUAGGGGUACAUGUGUGAGCAAUGGGCCUACGUGCUAACCCAUCUACACUAACAAAGUGACUUCUAAGCUAUCACAAAUUAUGAUAUCACUCCCAGUUGUAAACUGCAAAAAGGCUGAAAGCGCUCCAUCUGUCAAACUCUUUACAAACCUUUUUAAAUGAUCAAAACUUUCCCUUUCAGCAUCAUUCCCUGGUUGUGCUGACAAUAACUUAAGAACCUUCUUAGGGACCGUUCAUUAUUUAUACCUGGGGUUGGUACCGAAGACAAGAGAAAAACAGUGUACAUUUUUUAUUUACCCAACCUCAACAAUGGUCAAAAUAAUGUUUACCCAACCCAUGUGUUACUAUACUUCAUAAUAAUUAAACACACAAGAUUAUGGUGACAGAAAUCAAGUUGCCUAUAUUCUAAAAGCUCACUCACACUCAAACUCACUGAGUGUGCCAAAGCAAUCACGUUCCUGCUAAUCAAUGAUAGAAUC